Molecule: long non-coding RNA, 2415 nt
Organism: Ictalurus punctatus (channel catfish)
Lineage: Eukaryota; Metazoa; Chordata; Actinopteri; Siluriformes; Ictaluridae
Source: Ensembl
CCCCUCUGCUGUUAGACAGUUAAAGUUUCUCAUGCUGUAACAGGUGUCUCUUUACAUUCAACAAUGCUUGCUGCUUACUUGCACUCGCCCCCUGCUGUUCAGUGACAACUACUGCAAACAUUUUUUCCCUUUUGAAUCCAGGUGUAAGGUUACUAAUUCAUAUAUCCAAAUGUAUAUAUAUACAUUUAUGUGUAUACACUCUUUAAAAAAAUGUUUAUGUCUAGCAACCUGAAGGAUUUAUAUUCUCUGUUGAAGGGUUCCCCUCUGGGAAACCUCCAACACCGACCACUGAAGUGAAUUCACGUCAGUCUGUGCAAUCGAAAGGGAGGAAGGGACCUGGCAUAGCUUCAUCACCAGAAGAGAAUACCAGCAGUGGCAGCACCAAAGAUUGGUUGGUCAUCUUGAUUGUGAUUGUGGCCAUCGUUGCUAUUAUUAUUCUGGGUGCUUUUGUGGUAACAAGGAACAGGUGGUGUGGGAGAAGCCAGACUCUGAUGAUCACCUCCAAGAGCAGCGGUGAGGGCAAUGGGACAGCAGCAUCAGCGGCCAGCCCCGAGGCUCAGGAGAGAGAGCAGGAAAUGGUGACGCUUAUGAACAAAGAGAAGAUCCAGGAGAAUGGCAACACGGAGGAGUUUACUGUGAUCACCCUGGAAGAAUCACCAGAGAAAAACCAGGAAGCAUGAAAGACUGAAUGAGACGGGUUGAGGAUGAGGGAUCAAAAGGUUGGGGGAGAGAGUGAUGGGUCAUGGCUUAAGUCUUAACCAGAGAGAUAGAAGCUGUUAGACACUUUGGGAGCCAGACAGACACUCAGAUACUGUUGGUGACAUAAAGUGUCAAAAGUCUUGUUUGGUCUUUUUAUAUGAAAAAUUUCCAUUUCCUUAAGGGUAAGGAAUCUACUAUAAUUUUCCUGUGGCUUCAAAACAAACAACACAACAAAGUGUUAUAUUUUAGACAAAAGGGAAAAAUUAAAGAUUUCUCUACACGCCAUGGAGACAUCCUAAAUUUAAACCUCUGGGCUCUUAAUUCUUUUCUAGUUUCAUUUUGCCUUUCACAGUGAGAAAACCUGAUGGUUAAUCUAGCACAAAUGAGAAUGUUCUUUUGAACUGAUUUCACCUUUUUUUGCUCCCCAAAUUUAGGGCUAAUCAACAUAUUAAGGAUGAAACAAAAGCUGAUGGAAACCAAAUUUUAUGAUCUCAAUAAAAUAGUUACAGAGAUGGUGAUACUGCUCACCAGCUCAUGUCUCCUAACUUCCCCAUCGCAUGCCUGAUACUACUAAGGCCUCUUAACACAGAUAAGACACAUUUAUCAUCUCCUAAUGUCAGUUAUUAGAUGUAAAAGUCGAUUAUAGCUUCCAGCUUAUCUAAAAACCGUUUCACAAUUAUAACGAGUAUUUAUUUAAAUUGGAUUGUGGGGAAAAACACUUAAACUUUAUUUCAAUAUUGUGGUGUGCAGUGUGGUUCUGUGCAGGUUAUAGGAUAGUAAUGAGGGCGGCAGAGAAAGAUGUAUGGUUUUAAUAAAGGUCAUUAAUGUCCAUGCACAAAGCCAUCAUAGUGCUAGAAUUCAUCUUCAGUGGGUUUCAAAUGAAACAAGAAAGGACAAAUAAAGUGAAAUGAAGAGGCAGAGAUGCUGAUACGUGUUUUAGAGUCUUUUGAAAAUGUCUUUUCUGACUUUUUUUUUUUUUUUUUUACCCCUGCGAAUGAUGUGUUUUUGUUUGUUUGUUGUUUGUUUGUUGGCUGGUUGGUUGGAUGAUUGGUAUUUUUUUUUUUUUUUUUUUGCAUUUAAUUUAUCCUUUUGUAUAUACCACUAUGCUUGUUUACUAUUGUAUGAGAUUGGAAUAGUCAGACCGUCAUAUCCAUUUCUUUAGUCAGUGUAACUGAAAACCAAUUUGCACCCUUAUUGAUGAAGUAAUAUCACACUGUAACUUGAUACCAAUGUUUUAAUAUUUUUGAUCUCCAAAAGUCUAUCAAAGAACAUGUUGGAACAAGAAAAGCUAUUGAAAAUUAUAUAUCAUUAUUCUUACCAUCUGAUCAUGCAUAUGCAAUUUACAUAUAUUUACUCUCAUGACAGUUGGGCUAUAAAAUGCCAUUAAUACAGUGUACCAACAUAACCAGUGAUGCAGUUAUUUAUUUUAAGAUGGAACAAAGUGCUUAAAUUAUGUCUUUUAAUGUUCAUACUUUGCACCUUACAUUGCCACCAAAAGCUUGAAGCAUAUGUACAUAUUAGCAUACAUAAGCUUUCUCCACAUACAGACAUUUCAGUUUCAUAUUUCUGCUUUUUUCUCUUUUGUCUUUUUAUGAUGGCAUCUACUCUUGAACGUGCUUUGUUUAAGAAAGAUUAGCAUAUGCAGUAGUGGUAGGAGUGUGUACAUUGACCAAAUAACUCAUUAUUGUUAAUUAAAAAUAAUUUUGUGAGGUCCAG